AUCAGAGUUGUGAUCAUUGGCUCAGGCAUGAACGCUGAGCGGCAGGCCUUAAUACAUGCAAGUCGCAACGAGAUUAAGGAGGUCUUGCUCGCUUAUGAAAGUGGCGCACCGGGUGCGUAACGCGUAUGCAACCUACCUUAAUCAGGAUGGGAUAGCCCGGAAGAAAUUCGGAUUACACACCGCAUAAAAACACAGAGCAGCAUUGCUCAAUGUUCAAAUAUUUAUAGGAUUAAGAUGGGCAUGCCGUGUCAUUAGCUAGUUGGCGGGGUAACGGCCCACCAAGGCGACGAUGACUAGGGGAUCUGAGAGGAUGACCCCCCACACUGGUACUGAGACACGGACCAGACUCCUACGGGAGGCAGCAGUAAGGAAUAUUGGUCAAUGGAGGGAACUCUGAACCAGCCAUGCCGCGUGCAGGAAGACGGCCCUCUGGGUUGUAAACUGCUUUUAUUCGGGAAUAAACCACAUUACGAGUAAUGUGCUGAAUGUACCGAAGGAGUAAGGAUCGGCUAAGUGCCAGCAGCCGCGGUAAUACGGAAUCCAAGCGUUAUCCGGAUUGAUUGGGUAGACUGGGUGCGUAGGCCGCUUAUUAAGUCAGGGGUGAAAGACGGUGGCUCAACCAUCGCAGUGCACUUGAUACUGAUGAGCUUGAAUGGACUAGAGCUAGGCGGAAUGUGACAAGUAGCGGUGAAAUGCAUAGAUAUGUCACAGAACACCGAUUGCGAAGGCAGCUUACUAUGGGCAUAUUGACGCUGAGGCACGAAAGCGUGUAGAUCAAACAGGAUUAGAUACCCCUGGUAGUCCACGCGACUAAACGAUGAAUACUCGCUGUUAGCGAUAUACAGUUAGCGUGUAAGCGAAAGCGUUAAGUAUUCCACCUGAGCGAGUACGCGUAACAAGCAUGAAACUCAAAGGAAUUGACGCUCGCCCGCACAAGCGGAGGAGCAUGUGGUUUAAUGCGAUGAUACGCGAGGAACCUUACGGCCUUGAAAGUUAGUGAAUGAUCUAGAGAUAGGUCAGUGAGCAAUCACACGAAACUAGGGUGCUGCAUGGCUGUCGUCAUACUCGUGCCGUGAGGUGUUGGGUUAAGUCCAGCGCAAUCCCCUAUGUUUAGUUGCCAGCACGUUAAGGUGGCGGACUCUAAACAGACUGCCUGUGCAAACAGAGAGGAGGGACGACGUCAAGUCAUCAUGGCCCUUACGUCCGGGGCUACACACGUGCUACAAUGGAUGGUACAGAUCAGCAAGCUGGCAACAGCAGAGCGAAUCUCAAAAAGCCAUUCACAGUUCGGAUAGAGGUCUGCAACUCGACCUCUUGAAGUUGGAUUCGCUAGUAAUCGCGUAUCAGCAAUGACGCGGUGAAUACGUUCAUGGCCUUGUACACACCGCCCGUCAAGCCAUGGAAGUUGGGGGUACCUAAAGUAUGUAACCGCAAGGAGCGUCCUAGGGUAAAACCGAUAACUGCAUCUAAGUCGUAACAAGGUAACCGGUAACG
This 1494-nucleotide ribosomal RNA is filed under the name uncultured Pedobacter sp. Its description in RNAcentral is "bacterial SSU rRNA". It matches the Rfam family "Bacterial small subunit ribosomal RNA". The record is from RNAcentral. Lineage: Bacteria; Pseudomonadati; Bacteroidota; Sphingobacteriia; Sphingobacteriales; Sphingobacteriaceae.